RNAcentral lists this ribosomal RNA (464 nucleotides) under uncultured bacterium. Its description in RNAcentral is "partial 16S ribosomal RNA". It matches the Rfam family "Bacterial small subunit ribosomal RNA", at positions 28 to 507 of the family's 1533-position model. The record is from RNAcentral.
GACGAACGCUGGCGGCGUGCUUAACACAUGCAAGUCGAACGGUAAGGCUCCAGCUUGCUGGGGUACACGAGUGGCGAACGGGUGAGUAACACGUGGGUGACCUGCCCUGCACUUCGGGAUAAGCCUGGGAAACUGGGUCUAAUACCGGAUAGGACCGCACCGUGAGGGUGUGGUGGAAAGUUUUUUCGGUGUGGGAUGGGCCCGCGGCCUAUCAGCUUGUUGGUGGGGUAAUGGCCUACCAAGGCGGCGACGGGUAGCCGGCCUGAGAGGGUGGACGGCCCAAUGGGACUGGGGACACGGCCAGGAUUCCUACGGGGGGAAGAGGGGGGAAUAAUUGACCAAUGGCGGAAGCCUGAUGCAGCGACGCCGCGUGGGGGAUGACGGCCUUCGGGUUGUAAACUCCUUUCACCAUCGACGAAGGGUUUCUGACGGUAGAUGGAGAAGAAGCACCGGCUAACUACGUG